AUUGCAGGCUGCAACUCGCCUGCAUGAAGUCGGAAUUGCUAGUAAUCGCAGAUCAGCAUGCUGCGGUGAAUACGUUCCCGGGCCUUGUACACACCGCCCGUCACACCAUGGGAGUCGGUAACACCCGAAGUCCGUAGUCUAACUUUCACGAGAGGACGCGGCCGAAGGUGGGUUCGAUAAUUGGGGUGAAGUCGUAACAAGGUACC
RNAcentral lists this ribosomal RNA (206 nucleotides) under uncultured bacterium. RNAcentral's name for it is "partial 16S ribosomal RNA". It matches the Rfam family "Bacterial small subunit ribosomal RNA", at positions 1297 to 1500 of the family's 1533-position model. The record is from RNAcentral.